GCGGCCGCCGGCUCCGGCCGAGGGCGAUGGGGCUGGGCUGAGGAGAGGCGGCGGCGGUGGCGAAAGCGGCCCCCCGGCCCCCUGCGGCCUUUUGGCUGCCCGGGCCGGGAGGCCGCGGAGAAGUCGGCCGGGCGGCGCGGCUGGUCUGACAGAAUCAUCCUGGGAUCUUGGUGUCUGGACAUAAGAGGUAUGAAUCACUUAUAUAAUUAGCUCCUAAUCAUUAAUGUUUUAGAGCUAUAUUUAGUGGUUUGUGUUAGUACAAAAUGAAUGGGGUAUGGAGUCAUAAACCCAGAAACUUACAUGAGUCUGAACUGAAUGUAACAUAAGAUUAUGUUAAGGGCGCUUUUGAAUCUAUGGAGCAGGACAUCAGGAGUGUUUAAAUUGAAGAAAGGUGGGGGGUCUUUCGUGAGGAAUACAGUUCUAGAAGUUUUGAGGCUAACAUGUAAGUUUA
This 451-nucleotide long non-coding RNA is filed under the name Rattus norvegicus (Norway rat). RNAcentral's name for it is "long non-coding RNA NONRATT006660". The record is from RNAcentral. Lineage: Eukaryota; Metazoa; Chordata; Mammalia; Rodentia; Muridae.